RNAcentral lists this ribosomal RNA (253 nucleotides) under uncultured bacterium. RNAcentral describes it as "partial 16S ribosomal RNA". It matches the Rfam family "Bacterial small subunit ribosomal RNA", at positions 524 to 776 of the family's 1533-position model. The record is from RNAcentral.
UACAGAGGGGGCGAGCGUUGUUCGGAAUUACUGGGCGUAAAGCGUGCGUAGACGGUAGCGUAAGUCGGGUGUGAAAGCCCCGGGCUCAACCUGGGAAUUGCAUUCGAGACUGCUCUGCUAGGGUGCGGAAGAGGGAAGCGGAAUUUCCGGUGUAGCGGUGAAAUGCGUAGAUAUCGGAAGGAACACCAGUGGCGAAAGCGGCUUCCUGGUCCAGCACCGACGUUCAGGCACGAAAGCGUGGGGAGCAAACAGG